UAUCUUUAGCACUUUUAACAACACGACGACCCUCUUCCUCAUCACUACUUUCCUCGCUGCUUUCACCACGGAGAAACUUAAGACCAGCGGGUUUGGCCUCUUCUUUUUCGGGUUUCUUUAAGAAACUAGAAGGGCCAGAACGUUCAGAUUCAUCAGAUUCCUCUUCAGAUUCAGAUUCCUCCUCAGACUCAGACUCGGACUCAGACUCGGACUCAGAUUCAUCAGAAACUUCGCUAUCCUCUUCGGAUUCAGUCUCUUCUUCCUCUUCUGAGCUUUCAGAGUCAGAUUCAGAGUCUUCGGAAGCAGCCACGGCCUUUUUCUUGGGAACCUCUACUUCUGACUCUUCGCUUUCAGACUCUUCUUCAGAUGAUUCGGACUCCGAACUGGAUGCGCUUUCCUCUUCACUUGAUUCUUCUUCAGAUGAAGAGUCAUCUUGUUUCUUCAACCUUGAAGAGGUUAAACGGUUUUCUUCAGAGGAGUCAACGGAUUCUGCAUCGCUGUCGCUAGAGCCUCCCUUGAAGAAUCUCGACAUGUUGGUGGUUGGCAAGUUUUUUUUCGUGCAGCAGUCAAAGGA
Non-coding RNA from Schizosaccharomyces pombe (fission yeast), 574 nucleotides. Lineage: Eukaryota; Fungi; Ascomycota; Schizosaccharomycetes; Schizosaccharomycetales; Schizosaccharomycetaceae. The record is from the annotation of a GenBank genome assembly.